AUACGGAGGAUCCGAGCGUUAUCCGGAUUUAUUGGGUUUAAAGGGUGCGCAGGCGGCCAUUUAAGUCAGCCGUUAAAUCGUGGGGCUCAACCCCAUUCUGCCGUUGAUACUGGGUGGCUUGAUUGCGGUCGAGGUUGGCGGAAUUCGUUGUGUAGCGGUGAAAUGCAUAGAUAUGACGAAGAACGCCGAUUGUGAAGACACCUCACGAAGCGGUAACUGACGCUGAGGCACGAAAGCGUGGGGAUCGAACAGGAUUAGAUACCCUGGUAUUCCACGCAGUAAACGAUGAUGACUAACCGUCGGCGAUAGACCGCCGGUGGCCAAGCGAAAGCGAUAAGUCAUCCACCUGGGGAGUACGACCGCAAGGUUAAAACUUAAAGGAAUUGACGG
Molecule: ribosomal RNA, 390 nt
Filed under: uncultured bacterium
Lineage: Bacteria
Description: partial 16S ribosomal RNA
Rfam family: Bacterial small subunit ribosomal RNA
Source: RNAcentral